RNAcentral lists this ribosomal RNA (468 nucleotides) under uncultured bacterium. Its description in RNAcentral is "partial 16S ribosomal RNA". It matches the Rfam family "Bacterial small subunit ribosomal RNA", at positions 28 to 507 of the family's 1533-position model. The record is from RNAcentral.
GACGAACGCUGGCGGCGUGCUUAACACAUGCAAGUCGAACGGAAAGGCCCUGCUUUUGUGGGGUGCUCGAGUGGCGAACGGGUGAGUAAGACGUGAGUAACCUGCUCUUGACUUUGGGAUAACUUAAGGUAACUGGGGCUAAUACCGGAUAGGAGCUCAUGCUGCAUGGUGGGGGUUGGAACGUUUGGGCGGUUGGGGAUGGAUGCGCGGAUUAUCAGCUUGUUAGUGGGGUAGUGGCUUACCAAGGCUUUGACGGAUAGCCGGCCUGGGAGGGUGACCGGCCACAUUAGGACUGAGGUACGCCGCAGUCUCGUACGGUGGGCAGCAGGGGGGAAUAUUGCACAAUGGUCGGAAGCCUGAUGCAGCGACGCCGCGUUCGGGAAGACGGCCUGCGGGUAGUAAACCGCUUUCGCCUGUGACGAAGCGUUAGUGACGGUAAUGGGUAAAGAAGCACCGGCUAACUACGUG